Molecule: long non-coding RNA, 3775 nt
Organism: Cervus hanglu yarkandensis (Yarkand deer)
Lineage: Eukaryota; Metazoa; Chordata; Mammalia; Artiodactyla; Cervidae
Source: Ensembl
AUGUCGGGGUCCCACCGACCCCCAACUCACCAUGGCCUCGUUUGCUGGCUGGAGUCCACUCAGGCGGAACUGGAUGCAAGAUGCUGGGACCUGGCCUGCGACUUCCCCCUGCCUUCCGUGUUCCUGGUCUGCUGGGAUAACCAGCUCAGCUAUUUCCGUCAACGUCCAGGGCCUGGGAGCUGCUUGGUCUGUGCCCCUGGAGUCCUGAUUCCACCAUUUGUUACAUUUCCUUGUGUGGAAUCUCGGUUUUCCUGUCCCUAUUAUGGGGAAAGAAGCCAUCUCCUUCAUGGGAAAGAAGGAACGCUCACAGUCAGCUCAGCAGUCCCCGCACCCGUGUCUUUACUCUGCGGCAGGACCAUGCCAAGCUCUUCUCCAGCGGGAUCUCCAGGAACCUUCAAACAGCCUCAUAACUCGGUCACGGUGAUCAUUCCCAUUUUACAGAGGAGCAAACUGAGACACACGCCUAAGGAGCUGAGUCUGCUGCUCGGCCCCCCUGGGAGGUACCCAGGUACCCAAAAUCCAACACUGGGGGCUUCUUGGUUUGUAAUCUGGAGGGCCUGGAACUCUGCAAACUUCCUCACUCCUGGAAUCCGUCACUGGAUGUCACCACUGCCCUGGCGCUCAGGAAUGCUACUCCUUCGGACCUUAAGAAGCUGAAUCACAGGCUGGAGGGAAGAAUCCCAGGUAGGGAGGUGAGAAACGAGACUUUGGGUUCUGCCACCAACCCACCGCUCUUCCUGAGAUUCCAUGUAUUCUAAUUUUUUAUCUAUUUUUGGUUUCUUUCUGGCCACACCUCAGUGCUCACAGGAUCUUAGUUCCCUGGCCAGUGGUUGAACCCAGGCCCACGGUGUGAAAGCACUGAGUCCUAACCAUUGGACCUCCAGGGAAUCCCUAGUUUGUUCCAUUUUCUUGCAGUUCUAAACCACACCUGUGCCCUGCCAUGGUCCUGGACCUGGUGGGACUCUUAGCAAGGAAAAUCCCGGAUGUGAAAGAUAUCAGUUUCCAGUUGUCUAUUGCUGGUGACUAGCCAUCCCAAAACACCGUGGUGUAAAGCAACAGCGAUUUCCUCUUUCUCAUAUUUCUGGGGAUUGAUUCUGUGGUUCCUCUGCUGGUUUCUCCUGGACCUGCUCAUGGGGCUGUUAUCAGCUGGAGGGUCCUCUGGGUGGGGAGGUCUAAGAUGGCCUCACCCCAGGUCUGGUAGUUGGUACCGGCCAUCAGCUGGGACACCUCGACUCUCUUUCUGCAUCGGGAUGAGAGAUACGGCAACUCAUCCUUCACUUGGCUUGACCGGCUUCCUUCCGCGGGAGUCUUGGUGUUCCCAGGGGGCAAAGGCAGAAGCUGGUCUCCCUCUUGAGGAUCCUGUCCUGAAACCCACCCAUGGCAGCCCUUCUGCCACAUUCUACCGGUCGAUGCAAGUCCCAGAGCCAGUCUAGAUGCAAGGAGUGGAGACACAGAUUCCACCUCUGAGUGGGAGGACCAGCAGUCACAUUACCAAGGAGCCUAUGCCCCAGGACGGGGGGAAGACAGGGAAAGUGUGAAAAUGUGAGUCGCUCCGUUGUGUCUGACCCUUUAUGUCCCCAUGGACGGUAACCCACCAGGCUCUUUGGUUCAUGGGAUUCUCCAGGCAAGAACUUCAGAUUGGGUUGCCAUUCCCUUCUCCAGAGGAUCUUCCCAACCCAGGGAUUGAACCCAGGUCUCCUGCACUGCAAGCAGUUUCUAUAUGGGGUGACCUGAUCAUUUGUAGCUAUUUUGUAACAAUUGAUUGAGCUUCCCAGAUGGCUAAGCAAGUAAAGAAUCUGCCUGCAGUGCAGGGGACACAGGAGAUGCAGGUUCAAUUCCUGGGUUGGGAAGAUCCCCUGAAGGAUGAAAUGGCAGCCCACUCCAGCAUUCUUGCCUGGAGAAUCCUAUGGACAGAGGAGCCUGGCGGCUACAGUCCAUGGGGUCUCAAGAGUCCGACAUGACUUAGCGACUAAACGACCGCUGCCAAGAAGUUAAAUGGAUGCUGCAGAAACACACAGCCGGCUGCUUUCAGUACUAUGUUUCCAUGGGUAUUUCUAGAACCACAUAGAGUAAAUUCAGAAAUCCUAUUUAAUUGGAAGUGGGUAGAGAGAAGGGUGCAUUAUCGUGUGGUUGGGGGAAAAUACUAAAUCCAAACUGAUUCAAUAAAAUUGUGGAGCUGAAACUACUCCCAGAGAAAAAUCCAGAAGAACCCCAACUGGAUUUGGGUAAUUCUGGAGAUUUCUGCCCUAGCCCUAGAGUCUUAAUGUAAAGAUAUAAAUUUUGCUGUUCUAAUUUGUUGGGAAGAUGCACAAGUUAUAUCCAGGAAGUCAGCAUCCUAAGGAUCGGCCAGGUGCCUCCCUGUUAGCCAGAAGACAGAGCAAUUCGACGCCCUUAGACAAAGAGAAAUGACAACCUUAGGAAGAAGAACUGGAAAGGUAAGAUGCAGGAACAAAGAGCACAUCUCAGAGACAAAGCAGAGCGGCUCCGAUGUGCUCAGCAGGUCUUAAAACCCAGAUGAAGAUGCUGCCAGAAGUCAGAGAGAAGCUGCCAGGGCAGCAGAACACUCCCCGUGUUGCCUGGAGAUACUCAACAUAGGUGCAAAUGAAUGGUUCCCAAGUCCUCACGAAGAGAGAGAAGGAAUCCAACACAUUCAGUUUAGCAAAGGUUUAGGUUCUAACACUGUUGAUUGCCAUGAUGAAAAGAGUCCUGCUGAUCCCAGGGGACAGAUAAGCAAAUGUGUGAGCGGCUGUAACAGACUGUGGAUGGAGCAGAGAGAGUCACAGAAGACGGAACAAUUCAUUCUGCCAGCCUGGCCUUUAAUGAGAGCUGCAGAGAGGGGCUGGCCGCUGAGCUGGGGCCUCAAAGAGUGAGCAGGGCUCUGCUGGGAGAGCCCCGAGGAGGGAAAUACGGUAGGAGCUGUGGGUACAGAGGCCCAGAGGCUCGGAAGUCCUGUGGACAUCUUUGCUUUUCUCUGCUCAGAGUCCCCCUCUCCUCUCCUUUUUCUUUCUCUCAUUCAACACGCGCCCGGUGGAACUGUCAAUCACAAUGAGGCUCCACCCCCAAAGGCAAGCGCAUGACACAAGCCAGCCAAUCAGACCCUCUCCUGAGACGCUGUAUCUUCCGCGGAAGAGUGCACUGGCUUACAGCUGAUGGAGCGGAGCCAUGCCGUCCUUAGUGUCCUAUAGAGACCAUUCAUGAGGUCUUGCUACCUUACCAGGCGUCUUGUGUGUGUGUGUUUACAUGACUGGGUGUGUGUAUUUAUAAUACUUUGGCCACCUGAUGCGAAGAACCGACUCAUAGGAAAAGACUCUGAUGCUGGGAAAGAUUGACGGCAGGAUGAGAAGGGGACGACAUGGUUGGAAGGCAUCACUAACUCAACAGACAUGAGUCUGAGUAGACUCCGGGAGUUGGUGAUGGACAGGGAGGCCUGGCGUGCUGCGGUUCAUGGGGUCACAAAGAGUCGGACACGACUGAGCGACUGAAUUGAGCAGGGUGUAGUGGGGGAGGGUUUGUGUUAACAUCUCUCCACUUUGCAAUAAACACUUUUUGCUUUGAAAAGCCGUCUCCCCUCCAUUCCAAAUGACCCUGUACAAUUGUUUGUCAUGGUGUUCUGCAUUUUAUACCACUAGAGUGGACUUAUGACCCAAGAUGUCCAAACACAGGGAUAUUUCCAGGAAUAGGCAUCCAAACUGGACCAAUCAGAAUCUUUCCUUAGAUUUGAUUUAUGGGUUUCCCCUUUCUCUGGGACCUUGAGCUAUAAAGACCAGGCAGUGAC